ACCUGAAUGGCUGUGCCGCAAUUGAUUGUAAAACUGGGUCAGAAAAAAUAUUUACCCAGGGCAUGCGGCCAGAGAGGAGCUCCAAGCAUACAGUAUUGGCUUGUCAAUAACUACAGCAGCUAAAUGAUAGUUCACGUAAUAAAACCCAUCAUGAGGAGGUAUUCCACACUUCCAGCCUUCCUGACCCCCUGUACCCUGCCCAUAUGCCAGAGAAGGGCCACACCUCAGCCUAGAGAUGAUCUUCCAGAGUGGAUGGGUUGGAACGAGGAGAAGAAAAGGAUAGAAUGUGACAGGGGAAUGGAAACUCUUAGGCACACUUAAGAGAUGGACCAUGAGGAAAAAACAUUCUCCCUGGUAAAAAACACUGCCCACUGCGGGCUAUGCACUGAAAUGGUUCAUCUCCUUCAAUGUCAUCACACUUUCCUUUGUCAUCCACGGUGGCCUUUAUUGCAUUCUCUCCUGCCUUGCGUGUUCUCCUUACCAUCAGUGUAAAAUUCAAUCAACUUGUGCUGAGGGCGACUGAAGCUUUGUUUGGGCCGGUAUUGUGAAGUAGGUAGGCGCAGUCCUGGUUCUGUGGAUACUAGGCAGACAGGGUCCAUCUAUAAUAUUCCCCUCAAUAAGGUCUCUAUCCAAUGUGUGUGAGUGUUUCUGAGUGUGCGUGUGUGUAUGGGAAGAAUGAUUCAACACCGUCCUCAUCAACCCAGCACUUCAAUACACCAUACUCUCUCCCUCUGCUUUCCCAACAAAUAAGCUUUUAUGUACCAUAUUCUAUAUCCUCCCUCAGCCUUUACAAAAUCAAACGCUCCCCCACACUGUCUCCCGUCAGCAGCACCGCAGAUCAAAGACACACUGAAGUUAGAGCAAAAUUUAUAACAAACACCCGGCACCACUAAACUUUAAGUGUGUGUGUGUGUGCGCUGCAUGGCUCUUUAUUUCAGCCAGAACACAACCUUCAGCUCUACGGAGGCCAGACUCUGACACAAAGCUAGGCUAAAAUAAGUGUAAGGUUUUUUCAGACAGAUGAUUGACAUGAAUUAGCCGACAAUGGAUUACUCAGAGCAGCUCCCUGCGCAUGCACAUAAACACAUACACACGUGCACAUAUAGUGAGCACACAUACACGUACACACUCACACACAAGCUCACACACACACAGAGCAUAAUGCAGAUGUUGAUUAUCAUCAAUGUCAGAUGUUGAUUAUCAUCAAUGUCAGAUAUGAUCAAUUGACCACAAAACAUAUUUUCCUCAUGAACUGCUUCAGCAUGUAGCAUAUCAUUGCACUGGCAGCACCAGCCAAAGUCAUAUGAUCAGGGAUGGAUCACUUACUUGAUAUUUACAUUAACACACUACUUUUCACCUAUCUAGCUGAAAUAUACACUCUCUCCUCCUUUACUAUUACAGUUGACUUUACAGUGAUUGGAGCACUCCAAUCCAUUACGGUAUGAUUACACCAUGAAAUGGUCACAGUGGUGAAAAAUUUGACAAUAAAACUGCCAGUGCUGAUCGUACCCUGUUUCACCAGUAAGACUGAAUGGCAGCGUAUGCACACACACACACACACACACACACACACACACACACACACACACACACACACACACACACACACACACACACACACACACACACACACACACACACACACACACACACACACACACACACACACACACACACACACACACACACACACAAAAGUGCCAUGUGUAUGAUAGUAAACCUAUGGGCCCUGUCAGGCAACAAAUCCCAUGAACUUGGCCUCCAUGAUGAUAGAAAUACUCCGGCGCUCCGUUGCCAGGGAAGCUGAUGGGGACUGAACACUGCACAUUUCCAACAGCCCGCUUCAGACCAAUUCACAUGGCUCCUAAAAUGUUACAGGACGUCAUUGUGCGCUCACAAAGCAUGCAUGCAAUUAAAUUUCCUUUUGCCGUGUUUCACGGUCAUCCAUGAAUUGGCCCUGUUACGGGCCUGAGUUUCCAUUCGCGAAAUCCUGCUCCACCCUCUUGGCUGGGACCCACCCCGGCCUUUAGCUCUGAAUGGUUGGCCUUUUGAUGGAGAACAUUGGGAUGUCAGUGCAGGGCAGGCCAUCUGAGCCACACAGGGACAUGGCUACUUAUCAGGCUAUUAGCAGGUGAGCGUGAUUAGUAUUCAAACACGGAGUCUUAUUACCACAGUGAUGACAUAGUGGUGGCGUAAAUCACAGAGAUAAAUGACUGUAGUAAAGAUUUGAAAGGGGUUGUGAUAAUGAUCUAUGUUAUAAU
Long non-coding RNA from Oncorhynchus tshawytscha (Chinook salmon), 2261 nucleotides. NCBI's taxonomy places the organism in Eukaryota, Metazoa, Chordata, Actinopteri, Salmoniformes, Salmonidae. The record is from Ensembl.